RNAcentral lists this ribosomal RNA (600 nucleotides) under Staphylococcus epidermidis. RNAcentral's name for it is "bacterial SSU rRNA". It matches the Rfam family "Bacterial small subunit ribosomal RNA", at positions 76 to 661 of the family's 1533-position model. The record is from RNAcentral. Lineage: Bacteria; Bacillati; Bacillota; Bacilli; Caryophanales; Staphylococcaceae.
GAGCUUGCUCCUCUGACGUUAGCGGCGGACGGGUGAGUAACACGUGGAUAACCUACCUAUAAGACUGGGAUAACUUCGGGAAACCGGAGCUAAUACCGGAUAAUAUAUUGAACCGCAUGGUUCAAUAGUGAAAGACGGUUUUGCUGUCACUUAUAGAUGGAUCCGCGCCGCAUUAGCUAGUUGGUAAGGUAACGGCUUACCAAGGCAACGAUGCGUAGCCGACCUGAGAGGGUGAUCGGCCACACUGGAACUGAGACACGGUCCAGACUCCUACGGGAGGCAGCAGUAGGGAAUCUUCCGCAAUGGGCGAAAGCCUGACGGAGCAACGCCGCGUGAGUGAUGAAGGUCUUCGGAUCGUAAAACUCUGUUAUUAGGGAAGAACAAAUGUGUAAGUAACUAUGCACGUCUUGACGGUACCUAAUCAGAAAGCCACGGCUAACUACGUGCCAGCAGCCGCGGUAAUACGUAGGUGGCAAGCGUUAUCCGGAAUUAUUGGGCGUAAAGCGCGCGUAGGCGGUUUUUUAAGUCUGAUGUGAAAGCCCACGGCUCAACCGUGGAGGGUCAUUGGAAACUGGAAAACUUGAGUGCAGAAGAGGAAAG